UACGGGGGGGGCAAGCGUUGUUCGGAAUUACUGGGCGUAAAGGGCGCGUAGGCGGUUUGCUAAGUUGAAUGUGAAAACUCUGGGCUUAACCCAGAGCCUGCAUUCAAUACUGGCAGGCUAGAGUUCUGGAGGGGAUAGCGGAAUUCCUGGUGUAGCGGUGAAAUGCGUAGAUAUCAGGAGGAACACCGGUGGCGAAGGCGGAUCUCUGGGCCUUACCUGACGCUCAGGCGCGAAAGCUAGGGGAGCGAACAGG
This 253-nucleotide ribosomal RNA is filed under the name uncultured bacterium. RNAcentral describes it as "partial 16S ribosomal RNA". It matches the Rfam family "Bacterial small subunit ribosomal RNA", at positions 524 to 776 of the family's 1533-position model. The record is from RNAcentral.